Long non-coding RNA from Syngnathoides biaculeatus (alligator pipefish), 496 nucleotides. RefSeq lists it as uncharacterized. The transcript has 3 exons. Lineage: Eukaryota; Metazoa; Chordata; Actinopteri; Syngnathiformes; Syngnathidae. The record is from RefSeq and is a predicted model, not a curated record.
CUGGGAUCGGCUCUAGCACUCCGGCGACCCUUGUGAGGUACCUGUCUCCUAUCAACAUCACCACUGGUGAAUAUAAGCCUGCCUGUUCUCAGAAACCCUCGCCAAAGUAUUCCAGCCUCUUCUAGCGAUACCAUGGCCGACAUCACUAAAUUAAAACACCCGCCUCACCUGAAAGGCCACCAGGAUCGCAGGGGACUCAACUGACCCAUCCCACUGCCUUUUCAAUUUGCUGCCUUCAGGGAGGAGACUGUUGACUCUUUGGGACAAAGCCAACAGGCUCAAAGAGAGUUUCUUCCACUACGCAGUCAGGAUGCUCAACUCCCUUUCUGGUUUGCCCUCAUUAUUAUCCUGCACUGGCACCCACCACCACUGACCCUAGACCAGAAAUUAAGCUCAUGCACAGCACUUUGAACAGUAUUCGCGUUGCCCUUGCAGCACAGUGUAGAUUACCCAACUGAUUAAUCUGCUACACUGUUGAGAAAUGUCUAUAAUUUAU